GCGCUUAUAGCUCAGACGGUUAGAGCACCACACUGAUAAUGUGGGGGUCGGAGGUUCAAGUCCUCCUAAGCGCACCA
This 77-nucleotide transfer RNA is filed under the name Nocardioidaceae bacterium Broad-1. RNAcentral's name for it is "tRNA-Ile". It matches the Rfam family "tRNA". From Rfam's summary of the family: Transfer RNA (tRNA) molecules are approximately 80 nucleotides in length. Their secondary structure includes four short double-helical elements and three loops (D, anti-codon, and T loops). The record is from RNAcentral. Lineage: Bacteria; Bacillati; Actinomycetota; Actinomycetes; Propionibacteriales; Nocardioidaceae. RNAcentral also lists the same sequence under 4 other names.